UGCAGCAGCAAGUUGUGGGCUCCUGCUGUUGCCCAUUUCCCGGGUCCGGAGCCAAGGAGCCGGUGUCCACGGGACUGAUGCAGCACCGUCCGCACCGCAAGAGUCCGCUCAGGGAAAUGGGCUCGGGGCUACAUCAGAAAAGGUUGGAUGACCCUGUUCACACAGCCCCAGGCCGGCAGUGCCCAGAGUCCGGCUCUGGGGGAAGGAAGCAGCGGCGAGCCCAGAACACAGCCUCACUGGGACUCGCUGGGAACAUCAUCUGGAGACUCGGUUAAAGCCCCCCCAGACCAGUUAUGAGAAAGGAUGAGAUCUUGAGAUCUGAAGAUAUUUACCGCUGCACCACAGGGCCUAAUUAUGGCCGAUUACCCUGUCUCCAGCAACAGGGCGUCACUGACAAGGUCAUGGAUAAAGCACCAUCAGGAUGAGUGUGGGGAAAUCUGGAGAGAGCCGGUGGCGAAGAACAAUAGUUGUAAAGAACUGGAAUGCUGUAAUCUAUACAUAUUAAUCGCGAUGAACAGAUACAUUCGAACAGAGCACAGUGUCAUGCUUCCAUUUACAGAAACGAUAUUGAUGCUGAGCAGAGCGCACAGAACUGUCUCACAGGGAGGCUCUCUGGCGUCAAGGAGAGGGCACAGAACAAACAAAUAAUUAAAUUUGCCUCAACAGAGGGAAUGUAUUGAGGGACGAUCCAGCUCAUGUCCUUAA
Long non-coding RNA from Pristis pectinata (smalltooth sawfish), 705 nucleotides. RefSeq lists it as uncharacterized. NCBI's taxonomy places the organism in Eukaryota, Metazoa, Chordata, Chondrichthyes, Rhinopristiformes, Pristidae. The transcript is spliced from 3 exons. The record is from RefSeq and is a predicted model, not a curated record.